AGUUGUAAUUUGAAGAUUGCGUCUUGGAGGCGACCGUGUCUAUGUUCCUUGGAACAGGACGUCACAGAGGGUGAGAAUCCCGUGCGGCACGGCCCCCGGCUCCUUAUAAGGCGCUCUCGACGAGUCGAGUUGUUUGGGAAUGCAGCUCAAAGUGGGUGGUAAAUUCCAUCUAAAGCUAAAUACAGGCGAGAGACCGAUAGCGAACAAGUACAGUGAUGGAAAGAUGAAAAGCACUUUGAAAAGAGAGUGAAACAGCACGUGAAAUUGUUGAAAGGGAAGGGCAUGCCGUCAGAUUGUCAGUGUGGGUAAGAAGCGGGGUACAAAGACUGUGGAACGUGGCCCUCGGGUGUUAUAGCCGCAGUUCAUGCCCCGUCUCUUUCCGAGGCCUGCUUUGAGGACACCGACGUAAUGACGGUACGCCGCCCGUCUUGAACCACGGACC
RNAcentral lists this ribosomal RNA (442 nucleotides) under Kodamaea ohmeri. RNAcentral's name for it is "LSU rRNA". It matches the Rfam family "Eukaryotic large subunit ribosomal RNA", at positions 141 to 667 of the family's 3401-position model. The record is from RNAcentral. Lineage: Eukaryota; Fungi; Ascomycota; Pichiomycetes; Serinales; Debaryomycetaceae.